RNAcentral lists this ribosomal RNA (207 nucleotides) under uncultured bacterium. Its description in RNAcentral is "partial 16S ribosomal RNA". It matches the Rfam family "Bacterial small subunit ribosomal RNA", at positions 568 to 774 of the family's 1533-position model. The record is from RNAcentral.
CGCGUAGGCGGUUCGUUAAGUGGGAUGUGAAAGCCCCGGGCUCAACCUGGGAACUGCAUUCCAAACUACCGAACUAGAGUAUGGUAGAGGGAGGUAGAAUUUCCUGUGUAGCGGUGAAAUGCGUAGAUAUAGGAAGGAAUACCGGUGGCGAAGGCGGCCUCCUGGACCAAUACUGACGCUGAGGUGCGAAAGCGUGGGGAGCAAACA